RNAcentral lists this long non-coding RNA (275 nucleotides) under Elaeis guineensis (African oil palm). RNAcentral's name for it is "long non-coding RNA (EGUI_LNC000174)". The record is from RNAcentral. Lineage: Eukaryota; Viridiplantae; Streptophyta; Magnoliopsida; Arecales; Arecaceae.
AGAAAAAUAGGGUGGUUGUUUGGUGACCUGACACCAUUUGAAAAUGACCUUUAAUUGGGUUAGACGCAUGUCAAGGCGCAUGUCGCGGCCUUACAAGGUUCAACGUUCACAGAGAGAAGAAAAAAAGGUUGCUUAUUGAAGACGCAUUUGUUUAAAUUUCCUUGAAAUAUAUAUUAGCUUAUCUAUCUUCUUGUAGUUAUUUCUUAUAUUAUUGGUGAUGCAUGCCUUGACCAUUUUUUAGAAUUUUUUUUAUAUUAUUAGAUUUUUUUUUUUUU